UCCCUGCUGGCAGAGACGGUAAUGAAUCUGCUCGAAAUGCAGGAGACCUGGGUUCCAUCCCUGGGUCGGGAA
This 72-nucleotide transfer RNA is filed under the name Bos grunniens (domestic yak). It matches the Rfam family "tRNA". From Rfam's summary of the family: Transfer RNA (tRNA) molecules are approximately 80 nucleotides in length. Their secondary structure includes four short double-helical elements and three loops (D, anti-codon, and T loops). RNAcentral also lists the same sequence under 3 other names. Lineage: Eukaryota; Metazoa; Chordata; Mammalia; Artiodactyla; Bovidae. The record is from Rfam by way of RNAcentral.